Molecule: ribosomal RNA, 696 nt
Filed under: uncultured Staphylococcus sp.
Lineage: Bacteria; Bacillati; Bacillota; Bacilli; Caryophanales; Staphylococcaceae
Description: bacterial SSU rRNA
Rfam family: Bacterial small subunit ribosomal RNA
Source: RNAcentral
GUCGAGCGAACAGAUGAGGAGCUUGCUCCUCUGACGUUAGCGGCGGACGGGUGAGUAACACGUGGAUAACCUACCUAUAAGACUGGGAUAACUUCGGGAAACCGGAGCUAAUACCGGAUAAUAUAUUGAACCGCAUGGUUCAAUAGUGAAGGACGGUUUUGCUGUCACUUAUAGAUGGAUCCGCGCCGCAUUAGCUAGUUGGUAAGGUAACGGCUUACCAAGGCAACGAUGCGUAGCCGACCUGAGAGGGUGAUCGGCCACACUGGAACUGAGACACGGUCCAGACUCCUACGGGAGGCAGCAGUAGGGAAUCUUCCGCAAUGGGCGAAAGCCUGACGGAGCAACGCCGCGUGAGUGAUGAAGGUCUUCGGAUCGUAAAACUCUGUUAUUAGGGAAGAACAAAUGUGUAAGUAACUAUGCACGUCUUGACGGUACCUAAUCAGAAAGCCACGGCUAACUACGUGCCAGCAGCCGCGGUAAUACGUAGGUGGCAAGCGUUAUCCGGAAUUAUUGGGCGUAAAGCGCGCGUAGGCGGUUUUUUAAGUCUGAUGUGAAAGCCCACGGCUCAACCGUGGAGGGUCAUUGGAAACUGGAAAACUUGAGUGCAGAAGAGGAAAGUGGAAUUCCAUGUGUAGCGGUGAAAUGCGCAGAGAUAUGGAGGAACACCAGUGGCGAAGGCGACUUUCUGGUCUGUAA